This is an RNA transcript of Cebus imitator (Panamanian white-faced capuchin), 1343 nucleotides long. It is a transcript of the gene named serine/threonine-protein kinase DCLK1-like, with no coding region annotated. The transcript has a single exon. Lineage: Eukaryota; Metazoa; Chordata; Mammalia; Primates; Cebidae. The record is from RefSeq and is a predicted model, not a curated record.
ACUCAUCCAACUGUUUCCUGUUUCUGCGGGUGCUUGGCUUAGUGCUGACAAGGGACUCCGCCCUUGCUAUUGUCAGGUCCAACACUAAGACUGUGUCCAUGUUAGAACUCAUAGAAGUUAAUGGAACCCCUGGUAGUCAGCUCUCUACUCCGCGUACAGGCAAGUCGCCAAGCCCGUCACCCACCAGCCCAGGAAGCCUGCGGAAGCAGAAGAGCUCUCAGCAUGGCGGCUCCUCUACUUCACUUGCAUUCACCAAAGUCUGCAACUCGAUGGAUGAGAACGACAGCCCUGGAGAAGUGUAGGAGGAAGGCUUCCAGAUUCCAGCUACAAUCACAGAACGAUAUGAAAUUGGAAGAACAAUAGGAUGGAAAUUUUGCUGUUGUCAAGGAGUGUGUAGAAUGAUCGACUGCUAGAGAGCAUGCUCUGAAAAUUAUCAAGAAAAGCAAAUGUCGAGGCAAAGAGCACAUGAUCCAGAAUGAAGUAUCUAUUUUAAGAAGAGUGAAGCAUCUCAAUAUCGUUCUUCUGAUUGAGAAGAUGGAUGUGCCAACUGAACUGUACCUUGUCAUGGAAUUAGUAAAGCGGGGAGACCUUUUUGAUGCCAUUACUUCCACUAACAUAUACACCAAGAGAGACAUCAGUGGGAUGCUGUACAACCUAGCCAGUGCCAUCAAAUACCUGCACAGCCUGAACAUCGUCCACCGGGAUAUCAAGCCAGAGAGCCUGCUGGUGUAUGAGCACCAACAUGGCAGCAAAUCACUGAAGCUGGGUGACUUUGGACUGGUCACCAUUGUAGACGGCCCCCUGUACACAGUCUGUGGCACCCCAAACUACGUGGCUCCAAAAAUCAUUGCAGAGACUGGAUAUGGCCUCAAGGUGGACAUCUGGGCAGCUGAUGUAAUCACUUACAUCCUGCUAUGUGGUUUCCCUCCAUUCCGUGGAAGUGGUGAUGACCAGGAGGUGCUUUUUGAUCAGAUUUUGAUGGGGCAAGUGGACUUUCCUUCUCCAUAUUGGGAUAAUGUUUCCGAUUCUACAAAGGAGCUCAUUACCAUGAUGCUGUUGGUCGAUGUAGAUCGGCGAUUUUCUGCUGUUCAAGUCCUUGCAUCCCUGGGUUAAUGAUGAUGGCCUCCCAGAAAAUGAACAUUAGCUGUCAGUAGCUGGAAAGAUAAAGAAGCAUUUCAACACAGGCCCCAAGCCGAAUAGCACAGCAGCUGGAGUUUCUGUCAUAGCAGUAAGCAUCUGAAAUAUCCACCUAUAACUUCUUUAAAGCAACCCACCUAAGAGACAGGCAUUACUCAGGAGAUUCUCCAGCCAGAGACAGCAGAAUGGGUCAUUUCUUUAGACAG